CAGGGCUAAUCUUCCUAAAAAAAUAAAGGAUAAAAAUAAUAAAAAAUUUGACAGCUGCAUAGAGAAUGAUAACAGCACCCCCAGAUGUCAGGCUGUAUAUCUGGGUUCAUCCCAUCCCUGCCACACAGAGCCUCAGCCAGUCGGUAUAAUAAUAGCAGCCACUUCAUAAGACGGUUGUGAGACUCAACCGAGAUCAUACAUAUAAAUUAGAGUUGCGCCUGACUUAUACUGAACCAUUUUUGUCAUUAUUAUCACUGUCAUCAUCAGAUGGAUUUGCUGGCAAAUUUGGGUAGUUGCCAUAUUAAUCUUUGAAUUCCUUUAGCAUAAUUCAGGCUCACUUAUUGGAUUAAGGGGCAAAACUCUGCAGAUUUUAAAUUAGACGGUCUCUCUGGGAAGGAAAUGAAAUCGUUUAAUAUCACAGGAAGAGUGGGAGUUUUAGCAUCAGUCAGAUCUGGGUUCAAACCCCAGCUUUGUCACUGGCUUUUCUGAGCAUCAAUUUCCUCUUCUGUAAUAAAGGGAUAACUGUAAGUGUCUGAGAGGGCUCUUAUGCAGAAGAAACCAUAACACUGAAAAAGAUGCCCAGCCAAGAGCCUGGCACAGAGUGGGUGCUCAAGAAAUGUUGAUCUCCUUCCGUUUAUGGACUAUAUAAUACCCAGGAAUCAAAUUACGUACUUGCAGCUUUUAUUUUGAAUACUAGAGUUAAUGUUUGAUUUCUUACACAUGGUUUAAUAUUGAGCAUUCAAAUUAUAGAUGGAAUAAAAGGUAUGUGUUCCAAAAAAUUAGCAUGCAAACCCACAAACAGUCUCAGAAGUUGAAUUUUACAGCUCCACGUUAUUUUGGCUGGGAAAAUGGAACUUUCACCCAGCUCAUAAUCAUUUAGACCUAGUCCAUUAGUCACCUCAUUUUUCACUGAAACUAGUUUUCUGGGAUCAGUUGGACUCUGAUUAGAAAUGUUAUGCAUUCACAUCUGGCAGACUUGGGAAGGAAUCUUAUUGUGAGUAAUGAACAAGUCCCAAAAACAAGGUGAAAGAAAUCCUGUCUCUAGUUAGGUGCCAUCAAUUAGACAGGAUUGGGGGAAAUAGUGACAGCAAACAAACGAAAAACAACUUUUGAAGCACUCUAGACUCUGGCUCUGUCAGAAAGUUCUAGAGUUUCCGGGCACAAUGAAACCACAGUGACCCAGAUGUUGAGAGGCCUCAGUGCAGAAAUAGAAUGUACACAAAAGUCGCAUCAUACGCUGCCCACUGAUAGACGUCGGGGUCCAUGUUGAGUCCUGAGUAGGAGGCAGUUACAGGUAUCAAAGUAGGAGUGUGACUCAACUAGAAGAGGAGUGAAUGUCAACAAAAGUGAAAAUCAAAGUCUCACCUUGACUCAUGAAGCCCGAUGACUGCCCCACUCCCGCCUCAUCUCCUCCUACUCUCUUUCGUCCAGCCAUACUUGCCAGGCAACACUGAAAAUUGGACUUCAAGUUGAACUGAAGAUGUGGCCAAUGCUUUUCUCCCUCAGUGAAGUUCAUCUUUUGAAGCCGUGAUGAGAAUGUGAAAGGCAGCACCUGGGUCCAUUUCUACAUGUGCAGAAUGCUAGGAAAUUUCCCCUAUGUACCGCCUUCUUGCCUUCACUUCUUCCUCUUCAGCCUUUUUCUCCUCUUCCUUUAAUUAUUGAAAUAUGGUACUCUUUACUAUAAUAGCUGCCCCUUCCACAAUACAUCACCUUAUUUUGCUUUUCCUGAAGACUCCCAGGUAUCUGUCUGUUUGACCUGUUUCUUGCCCUGACCCCUGUCUCUUGCUCUGCUCCACUACAAUUCCUCUCCAUUCUUUAUUCUCGUGUUCAGUUUUGCAUGUUUAAUCUCUUCCACUCCUUUCAGGUAUCUCUCAUAAAGGAGUUUCUGUUGGCUCACAACUUAGGUUGGGCCAAAAGGCAAGAAAUGAGAUUUCACCAAUGAAGAUUUCAGGAGCACCCACUAUCUAUGAAGUACAUCAUUCUUCUGAAAGGGACAGCUUAUCUCAUUGACCAUUCACGACAUCAGGCCACACAGAAAGCACAUCUAUUUGUUCACAAAUAUUUUCUGGUCUCCUCGAAUGCCCUGGAUGCUGUUCUGAGCACUGGAGAUGGAAUAGACAAGGAAACAAAGACCCUGAUCUCAGGAAGUUUAAAUUCCACUAGGGGAGUCAAUGUAGCUAAAUGAGCAUACGUAUGUAAACUUGUGUACACAGGCAGUGCUGAGUGACGCGAAGAAAAAGAAAUCAGGGAAGAAUAGAGUGAAAAGGGUGCAGUUUGGUCAAAAUUCUCUUUGAGGAGAUGACAUCUGAGCAGGGACCUCAGUGAAGUGAGGCAUAAAUUGUAUGGAAAACUAGGAGAAAAGUGUUCCAAGGCAAAUAAAACAUCAGAUACAAAAGUCCUGAGAUAUGAAUAUUUGUGUAUUUAAGGAACAAAUACAGAGUCUAGAGAGAGAGCAGAAUGAGUGCAGGGGGCAGUGGCGGGGAUGAAGAGAGUUUUUCACAGCACUUAUCAUCCAUGAGAUAUGGAAUUUUUGGGGUUUUGCUGUUGUUCCUUGCCAGUCUCUCGUCUGUGGCAGCAGGGACUGUGUUAUCUUCACCUCUGUACCUCCUGUGGUGGUAACCAUGCCUGACACAUAGUAAGUCUAAAACAGGCUUUGGAGUCAGAAAGUCUUUAUUGCAAAUCCCACUCCACUACUUAAUAUCUGUACAUUCUGGGCAAAGCAUUUAAACUCCUUAAGCAUCAGUUUUCAUAUUUGAAUUGAUACUAAGAAGCCCAAACAGGAAGGUUGUCAGAUGGAGGAAAUUCAAUACACCAUGUAAAGCCCUUAGGCCAGAGCCUGUUGAUGGUAAUUGCUCAAUAAAUGGUGGUUGUAGCUGGGUUAUAGAUGGUUGACAGAGUUCUAGUGGCUACAUAAGUGUCUGAGGGACACGAUGCUGAUCUCUAACUUGUAAUACCUGGAAAAUUUGUUUGGCAGAUGAUAAAUAAUUUGGGGGGCUGCUCUUUCUAGUUUAUCACUUCUUAAAAAUCUAACAAGUCUCCUUUGUUGGUAGCCAUCACAUGGAUCAUAAACUAAAAUGCUGCUCAGAAUAGCAUACAGUCUUUGGAAAAGAUCUUUUAUUUGGUCCUAGAUGGUUGGCUAGUGUGAACUGGGACUACGUUCUGCUUUCAAUUAUAACCAAUUUCCCUUGCUCCCUGAGAGGUAUGAGGGAGAGCAAAUAGCACAUUGUGUAGUAAUUGCUGGUUUGCUGGUUUAGACUGAAGGCCUUUGGGUGGUUUUCAAAUGGCUGUUUGAUAUUCAUUAUUGAAUUUCUACCACCUGAGGUGCAUUUACCAUAAAACGAGCAUAGUUUAGGCUUCAGCUUCCUCACCUGCAUUGUCCCUUUACUUGGGGACUCUGACAAAAAUUCACAUGGCCAUUUAUUUUUAGUAAAAUUUGCAGAAGACAUUUUAACUACAAUCAGUUAAACUUACAGAUCUUUCCCCACUGACUUUCCCUCUGUCACACUCUCCCUCAUGUUGAGUAGUGUUAUGGCUAGGAGUGAUUUUUGGAUUCAGCUAAGGGAGAGUUGAGCUGUAUCUAUAUUCAAAUUUAGUUUAAUGAGAAAUAU
Equus caballus (horse) is the source of this 3608-nucleotide long non-coding RNA. RefSeq lists it as uncharacterized. Lineage: Eukaryota; Metazoa; Chordata; Mammalia; Perissodactyla; Equidae. The record is from RefSeq and is a predicted model, not a curated record.